This is a long non-coding RNA of Zingiber officinale, 1300 nucleotides long. RefSeq lists it as uncharacterized. The record is from RefSeq and is a predicted model, not a curated record. Lineage: Eukaryota; Viridiplantae; Streptophyta; Magnoliopsida; Zingiberales; Zingiberaceae. The transcript has 5 exons.
GAAGGAAGAAGGGCAUCGACGUCGUUGUCUCCGGUUUGCGAUCGGAGCCCAAUCGCCGCCGUUACUUUUUCAGAUUUGCCAUCAUUAGUGCAGACAAAGCUCUCUAGUAAUGGUUCAAUUAGGGUUCGGAAGGGAGCCCUUGUUGCUGAUUCAUCGGUUCAUUGGUACUGAGUAGGAGUCACCUCACUUAGGCUUUCCUGACGCUGCCUCAUCUUUCUUUGAAUAAAGCUUCUGGUACACUGCUGAAAAAACUCUAUGAGGUUACUGAUUCAUUAGCUAGUCAGCAUAAAUACAUUUUACCUUUACAUGAUACUUAACAUAGGCAAUAAAAGUCAGCAAAUUUCUGACAGUAUUUUCUCCUUUUGCACCGACUUUGAUUUGUUGUGAGAAAAUUUCUGUAGAGUUAACAUGAAAAAACGUUUUAUUCCAGCCGGACUGUAGGCAUUAUCUUUUAACUAUGUUCAUAGAUUUAAGUUGGUGGUGCACAAUAAAAUCAUUUAAGCCCAUAAUUUUCAUAAGAAAAAUAGCAUUUAGAAAGUUCGUAUUCAUUAUGAAUAUAGUUGUUGCUAAGUUUUCUUAAGAAGGGGAGGCCAAAUGAGGUGUAAACAUACCAAAGGAGACGAAUCCUCCAUUUGUUGUUAGAUUUUGGAAAGAUUCUCGUCUCAACUCAGGAGGAGGGAUUGGCGACCAGGUACAUCGUGGCGCUUUGGAGAAUUCUGCUGAGUUGCUAACAUCUACAAGCUCCUGCAGAUCCCACUGCCCACGUCCUUCAGUUUGAGGCUACACAACAUAUCUUUCAGUUGCAAACUCAGUAUGACUGAUUGUAUUGAGGAAAUCUCAGUGAUAGUCAUCAUACGAGCUUCUGAAAGAGAUUGGAGACAAUCUGAAGCAGUUUCAAGAUAUAUUGGUGGCAUCCAUAUCGACAGGUUAACAAUUUGAGGACUUGAUUCUGAUGCCUGCCCAUAGGUACUGAAUUUAUCAAAAAGAACCUGAAUGGUGCAACUUACUGCCAAAGGACUGAGAAAGGCACCCUUCAACUAUGCCACCAAGAGUUAACUGUUGUGGUUGGUGAAAUAAUGAAGCCAGUUCUAGGCACAAUGUAUGCUGCAGAUGUGGAUUAGCAAGGAGGUUUGUGCAUUGUAACUAUGCACCUGUUUCCUGUUGAAUUGAUGGUUGAUUGAUAGAUUACUUGAGAACUUCCAAGGAAAAAAUAGGAACUUGAGAGAACAGUUGUGAUGGUCAUCAGUCCUUUGUUAUAGCAACUUUAGGAGUAUUUGGGAGAGUUUUUACUUAUUUAAAA